Molecule: long non-coding RNA, 1554 nt
Organism: Cyprinus carpio carpio
Lineage: Eukaryota; Metazoa; Chordata; Actinopteri; Cypriniformes; Cyprinidae
Source: Ensembl
GAGGAUUUGGCAGUGUUUAUGAAGUAACUAGCGCCAAGGACGCAAGCUGUCAAUUUUACUUACAGAACUUUGCAUAUCUGUUUAGGAUUCAUGGCUGGAAUUAUAUGACCUCUGUGCAUAUGCAAAUUGUUAGUUCUUUGUUUUGCUGAUCAGGUGAAAUUUACAGUGAAGAUGCCAGGCAUGCCAUAUAUCAGAGUGCCUGGUCAUCUGGAACACCUCCCCAUGGAGAUCGGCCUGACACUCAUGGCCAAUUAGGUCCCCAUUGUUCCUCAGAUCAUUAAACUGCUGGACUAGCAGGACGACACACACCACUGCAUCAUGGUCAUGGCGCGGCCCUUGCCUUGCAUGGAUUUGUUUCGUUUCGAGGAGCUCUACGGUGGAACCCUUGAAGAGGGGAUGUCACAAAAUGUAAGGUGGCAGGUCACUGAUGCUGCUAACAUUUUUGGGACAUUAAAUUGGAGAACCUGCUGGUGAACCAGGACACCAUGGAGGUCAAAUUGACUGACUUUGGGUGCAGCCUUUAAAGUUUUCCAUGGAACAAAAGUGUACAGUCCUUUAGAGUUCACCAUGAAGGGCAUGUACUAUGCAAGGCCGAUGACAGUGUGGAGACUAGAGGAACAUCCUACAGCCUACGACCGUGACGUGAUCAAUGUGAACCUCUAGACCAGACCUGGACUGUCACGAGUCUUUUUGUACAGAAUGCUGGCAGAUAAUCUGUGUUUGUCUACGGCCUAAGCCACAGAAGAGACCAAUGCAGGAAUUGUAAUACAGAAGCAAAAUAUAGGACAUGCAACACAGAGGAUGAGCUAAUUGACUUAAUACUGAUAUCAAGUGUUGUUUACAUUUAAAUGAGCCUCAACAUUCUAUGUCAGUACAGCAGCUCAAGUUUACAUUUGAAAUCAACACAGCUGUCCCUGAAGCCUGAUCAAAUGUGCAACAGGCUCUAGCAGGGCAUCUACCGCUCUGUGGCACAGCCCAUGAGGAAGACACGCAGUGGUCGGCAACAUCCUUGCAGCCUUGAGCUGAGACUGAAGAUCGAGCAGCGUCUGUGGCAGAUGCUCAACUGCCCUUCACUGGUGGAGACAGAGCAGCCUGACGGACCCGUCCUGAUCACUGAGAGCUUCUCCACAACCAGCAGAAGAUUCACUCCUCAAGUACAUGUGGACAUCAGUGAAGAGCCCGCUCCUGAGAAACCCAGAAGAAAGAAGCCCAGACACUGAGUCACCACAGUGUCACAUGGAGCAUCGCACAGUGGGACCUACAUAUGAAAAUACUGUAUAUAUUGUACAUAGUUAUAGAGUAAGUUUAUAGUUUGUAGAGCAGUUUGUCUGAUAGAGAGAGGACACUUUAGACACCAGUAGACUGUCUCUCUCUCUCUCUCUCUCUGUGUGUGUGUGUGUGUGUGUGUGUGUGUGUGUGUGUGUGUGUAGACUGUCAAGGACAACUCACUGCGUGCAUUCUUAUUAGCACUAACUUUGUUCAAGUUCACAUGUGUAUUCUCUUCAUUGUCUUCAUUGCAGAUGUAAGUUGUAAUAUUAAAUGCAUAGUUCACCC